GAUGAAGAACGCAGCGAACUGCGAUAAGUAAUGUGAAUUGCAGAAUUCAGUGAAUCAUCGAGUCUUUGAACGCACAUUGCGCCCCCUGGCAUUCCGGGGGGCAUGCCUGUCCGAGCGUCAUUGCUGCCCUUCAAGCCCGGCUUGUGUGUUGGGUCGUCGUCCCCCCCGGGGGACGGGCCCGAAAGGCAGCGGCGGCACCGCGUCCGGUCCUCGAGCGUAUGGGGCUUUGUCACCCGCUCGAUUAGGGCCGGCCGGGCGCCAGCCGGCGUCUCCAACCUUCUAUUUUACCAGGUUGACCUCGGAUCAGGUAGGGAUACCCGCUGAACUUAAGCAUAUCAAUAAGCGAGGA
RNAcentral lists this unclassified non-coding RNA (349 nucleotides) under soil metagenome. RNAcentral's name for it is "partial contains 5.8S ribosomal RNA, internal transcribed spacer 2, and large subunit ribosomal RNA". The stretch from base 1 to 120 matches the Rfam family "5.8S ribosomal RNA", at positions 35 to 154 of the family's 154-position model. The record is from RNAcentral.